This 27-nucleotide non-coding RNA is filed under the name Homo sapiens (human). Lineage: Eukaryota; Metazoa; Chordata; Mammalia; Primates; Hominidae. The record is from RNAcentral.
UGAGGGAUAAAAGACUACACACUGGAC